Molecule: long non-coding RNA, 707 nt
Organism: Musa acuminata AAA Group (dessert banana)
Lineage: Eukaryota; Viridiplantae; Streptophyta; Magnoliopsida; Zingiberales; Musaceae
Exons: 2
Source: RefSeq, a predicted model, not a curated record
UACAUCUAAGGGUUAUACAGCACAACCUUGACGUAAUGCCUUGUUCAAGUUCAAAUAGUGAAGGCUCCAAAUCAUAGAUUGUUGCACUGGGCAUUGUCUUGCUGUAAUAUGUUUAACUCCAGAUGGGCUCGGCAACUAAGGAUCCAUAAAUAGACAUCCUCUUCUCCAUGACCCCUAAGGCCAACAAAGUUCCUGCAACAGCAGUUAUAAUUCAGUUGAAAACUAUCAGGAAUUUUGCCCAAAUAACCUUACCUAAAAAGCCUGACCUAUGAAUGAGAGUCAUGUUGCAAUCCCUCUUCAAACUAACUGUUCAUUUGAUUCUUCCUCAUAUAAACGAAAAUAACAUUUACGAUUUGAUAGACGGACAUGUUGGGGUGACAUUACAAAUCAAGAAAAGCACAAAUAGUAAUGUCCUCUAUAUACCUUAGAAAAACACCACCUAUAAGGAAAAAGAGAACCCCACCUGAAGUAAUGAUAAAUUUCAGAUGUAGUCUAUGAUGAGAGAUGCUCUACCAUUGUGUAGGAGAUGCAACAGUCAAGUUAAUCUAAUGCACCUCACCUGUCUGAAUAUUCACGUCCAAAACACUAUCAAUUAUCUGGUGGAUAUGCUGUACCACAAGAACUUUUAAGGAGAAGUUAGUGCCAAAGCAUCAUUUGUAUGUACCAACUACCAAGUACCAACGAUGAAUCUACAAUAGUAGUCAAAA